AGGCGCGUAGCUCAGCGGGAGAGCGCUACCUUGACACGGUAGAGGUCGGCGGUUCGAAACCGCCCGCGCCUACCA
This 75-nucleotide transfer RNA is filed under the name Thiohalorhabdus denitrificans. Its description in RNAcentral is "tRNA_Val_GAC". It matches the Rfam family "tRNA". From Rfam's summary of the family: Transfer RNA (tRNA) molecules are approximately 80 nucleotides in length. Their secondary structure includes four short double-helical elements and three loops (D, anti-codon, and T loops). RNAcentral also lists the same sequence under 7 other names. Lineage: Bacteria; Pseudomonadati; Pseudomonadota; Gammaproteobacteria; Thiohalorhabdales; Thiohalorhabdaceae. The record is from RNAcentral.